This 75-nucleotide microRNA precursor is filed under the name Myotis davidii. Its description in RNAcentral is "mir-9193 microRNA precursor family". It matches the Rfam family "mir-9193 microRNA precursor family". The record is from Rfam by way of RNAcentral. Lineage: Eukaryota; Metazoa; Chordata; Mammalia; Chiroptera; Vespertilionidae.
CUAGGGUGGGGGAGGUCCCUCAGCUCGGAUUGUGAGAGGGUGCAGGGCAGGCCGAGGGACCCCUCCCAGUGCAGG